AUAAAAAUUAGUAUUUUCACGAAUAAUAAGGAUUCACGAAAUUAUAACAAUAUAAUUUUCACGAAUGCCUUUUAGAAUUAGUAUUUGUCACCAAGUACUAUGUAAAAACUUCGUGUCAAUAAGCAUUCACGAAAUUAUAAAGUUUAAUGAGUUGUAUAUGUUUUGUAGAGAGGAAACUUACGGUUUGAUGGUCGCCAAGUCUCUGUUGAAAUCCUGAAGCUCAAUUAGGAGAUUUCAUCCGAUCUUUUUGGUGAAGAGCAAAGCUGGAGCCAUUUAGAAAGUAAGCUUUGAUUGGAGAGAGCGGAAGCAGGGAAACAACAACAGCAACUGCGUUGUUGCAGAGGUUUUACGAACUUGAUUCUGGUCAGAUCACUUUUGAUGGAGUUGAGAUCAAGACAUUUCAUGUGAUAUGGUUAAGACAACAAACCGGAUUGGUGUGCCGAGAACCUGUUUUGUUCAAUGAAACGAUCCGAGCAAACAUUGCUUAUGGUAAAGGAGGAGAUGUUACUAAAACCGAAAUCGUAUCUGCAGCUGACCUAUCUUACGCUCAUGGCUUCAUCAGUGGCCUACAACAUGUCUAUGAUACAAUGGUGGGUGAAAGAGGAGUUCAAUUAUCAUGUGGGCAAAAAGCAGAGAGUAGCCAUACCAAAGCAAUUGUUAAAGAUCCUAAGGUGUUGCUACUUGAUGAAGCCACGAGUGCUCUAGACGUCGAGUCAGAGCGUGUGGUUCAGGAUGCAUUGGACCGGGUUAUGGUUAACCAAACCACCGUACAUGGUGGUGGCACAUCGGUUAUCGACUACCAAGAAUACUGAUGUAAUUGCGGUGGUUAAGAAUGGAGUCAUAGUGGAGAGAGGAAAGCAUGAGACUUUAAUUAAUAUCAAAGAUGGUGUUUAUGUUUCUUUUUUUUUUUUUUUUCACAAGAGUGUCUUUAUUGUAUUAAGUCAAGUAAACUGGCCAAAAUUACAGUCAAAAAACUAAAAACGAAAGUUCAACUACAAACAAGUCUAGAAUGCAAACAAACUAAAAAUGAAAGCCCACAUGCCCAAUUAGAAAACCCUUCUCAGAAGAAAGAAUCUCUAAAACACAGAACACGUGUCACAAGAGAAGCUUCAGGGAGGACACGUGCGAGACGAAGAGGUAGAAGUCUGAAGGUCUCCGGUCACCGGCAACGGAAAGCAUCGCCGGAAAACUUCAUUUCCGGCUGAAAUCACCGACGAACAACAGAAAAAACUCUCGAUCUACGCCAACAGGAAAGGGCGAGUUCCAAUUAGCUGAGAACAGACUCCAUCGAAGCAAAUCUUACUCUUCUUCUUCAGAAAAAACUUUCAAUCUUCAAAGAGGGUAGAUCUAAAAAAAUCCUAAAAAACACAACAACAAAAGGAAAACAAAGAGAUUUAAAAAAAUAAGUAGCCGCCGGAUACAACGCUGCCGUGAAGACCAACGCACGCUGGAAUCUAAGCCGGACAUGACAUCGCCAAAGAGGCCGAUGCAUGCCGGAAGCAUAGCCGGACAUGAAAUCGCCGUGGAGGCCGAUGCAUGCCGGGAACAGAACCGUCCACCACCAUUAGAGAAAACGGUCGAUGACGGAGCCAAAAUCCGAUCCAAUCCCCCACAAAAGGAACCGGUGUUGGACGAAAUGAAACGGUUAACCCACCAGACAACCGUGUCGGAA
Molecule: non-coding RNA, 1672 nt
Organism: Camelina sativa (false flax)
Lineage: Eukaryota; Viridiplantae; Streptophyta; Magnoliopsida; Brassicales; Brassicaceae
Source: RefSeq, a predicted model, not a curated record